This 300-nucleotide ribosomal RNA is filed under the name uncultured archaeon. RNAcentral describes it as "bacterial SSU rRNA". It matches the Rfam family "Bacterial small subunit ribosomal RNA", at positions 496 to 795 of the family's 1533-position model. The record is from RNAcentral.
GGGUACUCUGUGACGGCAGCCGCGGUAAGACAGAGGCUGUGAUCGUUAAUCGGAUUUACGUGGCUUAAAGCGUGCGUAGGCGGCUUUUUAAGUCGGAUGUGAAAUCCCCUAGCGUAACUUGGGAAUUGCAUUCGAUACUGGGAAGCUAGAGUAUGGGAGAGGAUGGUAGAAUUCCAGGUGUAGCGGUGAAAUGUGUAGAGAUCUGGAGGAAUACCGAUGGCGAAGGCAGCCAUCUGGCCUAAUACUGACGCUGAGGUACGAAAGCAUGGGGAGCAAACAGGAUUAGAUACCCCAGUAGUC